Molecule: long non-coding RNA, 3230 nt
Organism: Leopardus geoffroyi (Geoffroy's cat)
Lineage: Eukaryota; Metazoa; Chordata; Mammalia; Carnivora; Felidae
Exons: 3
Source: RefSeq, a predicted model, not a curated record
CCAGGCAGUGACGCCUGAGGCAGGACGUGCCCUCUCUGCCCUCCUGGAAGUACCCUGCCGCGGGAAGCAGCAGUCACCUCUGGAACCCCAUACGCACGCCGCCCCGGAUUAAGUUAGUCUGGUUUCUGUUGUAGACAGAAGUAUUAGCUGGUCCUUCUGUUUCAGAAGCUCUUAAAAAAAAAAAAAAAAAGGAAACACAUAACACUUUUUUAUUAAAAAAAACAAAAGGGCCACAACAACAUGCAAGGUAGGCCCUGGGCGCCCCUCUGCCCGCACCUUCAGCGUGUUGUCACAGAAAAGCAGAAUCAGCAUCUCGCACGGAAUCAAGGCAGGAGCACAAGGUGUUUCACUAGACAUUAAGGAACGUGUCUCCCCGUGGUGGUACGUGCACGGGGACGUUAUGGGAAGGAGCACAGAGAACGGGGAGAAAUGAAGCCCCCUUCCCUCCUCCUAGCCAGCCGGUCCCCUCCCUGCGGCCGCUUCUGUCCCUGAUUUCCGGAACAUUCUUCCAGAGGUGGAGUGAGGUCUUCCCACCGUUCUCAGGUGAUGUUUAUUCAUGGCCAUGCUUGAUUCCUUCUAGGCUCAUUUCUGUAAACCCUUCCAGGGUUGUUAAAGAGCGUCUGAGAGGUGACAUGGCCCUGGGCUUCCAUCAGACUGCCUAACUGCCUUCACUAAUCACGCUGAGAUCAAGCGGAUAAAAAGACCCUCCAAGGUCAGAGGUGUUGGCUAGUACUUCUCAUUUUGGAAUAUUCCGGUCAGCAAUCCAUAAAACCUGGCUUGAGACUCUCCUCCUGCAGGAAGGCCUCCUGGAUUCCUGCCCUAACCUUCAGCUGAGCUCAUGUCGCCCGUCAAGUAGGCGCCUUCUCCAGUAACCUCAGGAUCCAGACGAGUGGUGUCACCAUCUCCCAGCCUCCCAGGCUAGAAGCCCCCCAGUCCUGGAAAGCAUCCUAGCCCCUGGGCAUGCUGACAUUUACUGCUGUAACAGGAUUUCACACUCUCGAAAUCUGCACGGCAGCAUCUGUGCCUGGAAGUUUCAGAGAAAUUAAGGGAGGCUGUGAGCUCAGGGUCUGACCUUUGGGCAGAGGACGGGCCUGGGGAGCACUGGUCUUCAAAGCUGGCUUUGAUCUCCCGGAACUAGGUGUCCUGGGAUGCAAGCCAGCUGUGCCACUGGUGGCCUGGGAACCCCUGGACGGGGCACCUGACUCAGCCUCUGUGACCCCUCCAUCCCCGCCCCCGCCCAGGUUCCGCUAAAAGCACCAACCCCCUUACCUUAGGUCACGAGCAGGUAAUGGUGGGGAGGGGCUUGGCAAAAUACACAAGCUGUAUAGACUCUUAGGGUCCCCUCCAGAUUCAAGGUUGGUAGCUGUGAGUGAAAUACAUGCGAAUUAGGAAAGGAAACCAGACUGAAUUCAGUCAUUCUGCUUCACCCCUGCUGGGGCUGUCCCGAGACCCGUCCAGCCACCCACACCCUCGCGUGGGAGAACGGGCUCUGGGCCCAGGCGUGUGCUGACAGGCCUGUGAGCCCGGGGUGGGCGGCCCCCGGUUCUCCACGGCCCCUGCAGACGGACAGCAGCCGGCCAACUGGACGACCAAGGAGCAGAGCAGUGGGUGUGAGGGCGGUGAGGGCGGCGGGCAUCCUCUGGGCCCUCGGGCCUUUUGUCCCCGAACCGAGGCUCUGAGACUUUCAACCGAGUGGCGGAGCCACGCUGUCCCCCAGGAUAAGAACGGGGCAUCUGUGCGGGGCCUCUGGACACCGGGUCCCACCCUCCCGGGAGAGAGCGCGAGCAGCAUGCUUGGUGACGGGGGUCUUUGUCGGGUCAGUGAGGACCUCGCCAGGUUCGUUCCCGGGCUGCCAUGCGAGGCCCUGUGAACCGGGUGGCUCCAAGCCACAGAGAUCCACUCCCGGAGCCUGUGCGGGAGACUCCAGGGGCCCCGGGCGACGCGUGUGUCCUUGGCGCUCCGUGGCGUGGGCUCCACCGCCUGGUGUCUGCCUGCUUCGCUCUCCGUGUCCCAGGCCCCCUCCUUUCUCUGGUAAGGACCCCAGCCCUUGGACCCGGGGCCCGCCCUGAAUCCAGACCCUUCAUCCGAUUACAUCUGCAAAGACCCCAUUUUCAAGUCUGGUCACAUUCGCAGGCAGGGGGGACUCGGACAUAGCUUUCGGGCGCCAGGACCCCAUCCGCCAGCCUGGUCCUCGGGCUCUCAGUCUUGAACAUCAGUCCUUCGGUGGAUAUAGAUGGGGCUGAAGCGACUCUUGGAUUCGCGCUGCCUGGGGACUCAGAGAUGAAGAGACCCCAUCCCGCCCUCAGACGGCCUGUGGUCUUUCUGCCCUGUCUCCUCUCGUGAACCCGGGCGUCACGGGAGGGGAUGUCCUGCGUGCACCGAGAGAGGAGGGAAAGCGACCAGGGGCCCACGUCUGUGCUGGGUCCUCACAAUCAGAAACAAAUGCCAAGUGGACUUUGGGUUGACGGACGCCUGUCAUCACGGACCUACCACGUGCAUGGAUUUAGGGGCUUGGCGGACCCUCGUGAACCACGUCUGGUCAAGGAAGGUGCGUGUGAACAAUAUUCACUUGGAGAAGUGCCACGAGACGCCCUCGUGCCGUGUUCGGUGGGGGCUGGCUUCUGGGAGCGCCUUGCGCCCCACACGGCUGGACUGAGGUUGCCUCUGGAAUGGAAUAGCUAAAACAGGUGGUCAUAGGUCAAAAUUUUGCAGAUUAAAGCUCAUUUUACCAUUUCAACAACAGGAGGAGUCCUCGUACCAGAGAGUUUUUGACUGGCUGCUUAGUUGGGAGAGUCCUCAGGCAAGGAAUGGCGUUGUUUUAAAGGUCUAGAAGUGUCUGCAUUUCACACAGAAACGUGUACGCUCUCACCUUUAUCUUUGUUAGCGCAGGGUCAUGACCUUUGCUUGGAGAACCGGUCUGCUGCUGGGAACGGUCUGCCCUUCCCGGCACAAACCACACAGGCGGUUAUGGUGUGGGAUUUCCCAAAAGCAGGAUGUGUGUGUAGCAUUGGUAACUAAAUCCCGGGGAGGGAUGGGACACACUCACGGAUAAAGGCACUGGGGAGCUGUCUGGGGUUCCGGAAUGUUCUCCCUCCUAAACACAUGUAGUUAUACAAGCUGUACGAUUAAGAUUAGUUUCAUCAGGGCGCCUGGGUGGCUGAAUCAGUUAAGCAUCUGACUCUUGAUUUCGGCUCCCGUCACGAUCUCAGGGUUGUGGGAUAGCGCCCCAC